RNAcentral lists this ribosomal RNA (527 nucleotides) under uncultured bacterium. RNAcentral's name for it is "bacterial SSU rRNA". It matches the Rfam family "Bacterial small subunit ribosomal RNA", at positions 353 to 871 of the family's 1533-position model. The record is from RNAcentral.
AGUGAGGAUAUUGCGCAAUGGGGGCAACCCUGACGCAGCAACGCCGCGUGAGUGAGGAAGGUUUUCGGACCGUAAAGCUCUGUCGAGCGGGAAGAAAUGUAUCAUGGCUAAUAUCCAUGAUACUUGACGGUACCGCUAAAGGAAGCACCGGCUAACUCCGUGCCAGCAGCCGCGGUAAUACGGGGGGUGCGAGCGUUGUUCGGAAUUAUUGGGCGUAAAGAGCGUGUAGGCGGCUGAAUAAGUCAGAUGUGAAAUCCCUGGGCUUAACCCAGGACGUGCAUUUGAAACUAUUCAGCUUGAGUAGGGGAGAGGAAAGUGGAAUUCCUGGUGUAGAGGUGAAAUUCGUAGAUAUCAGGAGGAACACCGGUGGCGAAGGCGACUUUCUGGCCCUAUACUGACGCUGAGACGCGAGAGCGUGGGUAGCAAACAGGAUUAGAUACCCUGGUAGUCCACGCUGUAAACGAUGUUCACUAGGUGUUGGGGGUAUUGACCCUCUCAGUGCCGCAGCUAACGCAUUAAGUGAACCG